UGUUAAAUAAUUGUUUAUGAUUAGUAUUAUUUAUUAUAAGAUUGCUUAAAUAGAAUAUGAUUAUUCAUAUGGCAGAAAUUCUUUAUAAAUAUACAAAUAUAUGUAAAUAUUUAUAUCUGAAUUAAGUUAAGGAAUGAGCAAUGGCCAAUCGGAGCGUUGCAUUGUCAGCUCCGCCCCUUUUCCUACGGAUCGCGUUGCACAGUUCAGAUGAGAGACGGGGAGCAACGGAGAAAGUUGAUCAGACGUGUGUGUGUUAAAUGGUGAAAAAUACGAUUCCUAAUAAUGUUUAAGGUUCACAUAAACUGGACAAAUUAGAGCUCAACCUCAAGAUAUUAGACGAUUCAGCAUGAUUGUUGAUUUUGACUCGUGGAUUAUAUCAGACCGCAUGGUGUAUUGAGUGUUCACUGCCGUUCGCUGACGCCAUUUUGUGCGUGCCUGUGAAAGAGAAAAGAGAGAAAGACGUGAAUGGACAGGCCAGGUUUUUUUUCUGUGUGAACAAUUUCCAAGUUGGAUUUCCCUAAUCGAUGGCGAGCCUCCCACUUCGACCCUGAAAGGAUCAUGAACCUAGAGGAAAGGACAAUUUUUCCAUUCCGUUGUUUUUCUUCAGACACGUAAGAGAGAACACAUUCCCAGAGACUGGUUCUUUGUAUUUUUUUUUAUGGGACUGAAACAUUUCAGUAGCACAAUUGAGAAACUUUAAAACUGAUCAAUCUUUCAAUUGAUAAAAACUUUGAAACUAGACACUGAUUUCAGUGUGGGUUAUAUGUGAUAUCACUGAGAUUUGGUUUCAUUUGUAUUCACAUUGAUUGUGAUUGUGAUUACUGUAAAUUAAAAGUAAUUUAGAGGGUGCACCCAGGGUAUAUAUAUAGUUUGUUGUAUAUUUUCUCUUUUUGUUUGUUGUUCUGUGAAUUGAAGAGGAAAAAAAAAAAAGGAAAUACUGAAAGGAAAAGAAAUAACUGAAUAUUCAAAGUAAAGUUAUUUUUGAUUCAACUUACCUUUUGUCUCUGCGUUUUGCUCAGUAUCACCGC
Long non-coding RNA from Megalobrama amblycephala (Wuchang bream), 1028 nucleotides. RefSeq lists it as uncharacterized. The transcript is spliced from 3 exons. The record is from RefSeq and is a predicted model, not a curated record. Lineage: Eukaryota; Metazoa; Chordata; Actinopteri; Cypriniformes; Xenocyprididae.